This is a long non-coding RNA of Eucalyptus grandis, 1047 nucleotides long. RefSeq lists it as uncharacterized. The transcript is spliced from 2 exons. Lineage: Eukaryota; Viridiplantae; Streptophyta; Magnoliopsida; Myrtales; Myrtaceae. The record is from RefSeq and is a predicted model, not a curated record.
AAGGAUGAACACCGGCUGAAGCUCUUCUCCUCCGUGCGUGCUCGUGGCUCUCGUCGGCUGAAGCUUCGUUCUCCCUUUUCCGGCGUCUCUCCAUCUCUCCGGCGGCUCCCACUCGGUCUAUUCUCUCUGGCGACUCCUCACUCCGGCGACUCCAGAUAUAGGUGAGAUGAUGACUCGCCAGUUUUCUUGUGGGCAGGAGAGUCUCAGUUUAUUGGAGGAGCUGUGCGUUCAAUCCAAGGCCAGCAUGCUGAUUACUUUGGGCGGCGAUGUGCCUGUUGAUGAAACAAACGAAGGAGACGACCUUGAAGCUACUCAGUUUGUCAUGGAAAAUGAUGAUGACAUGAAGGAGGACUUGGACCUCCCUGAGACGGCUAGGCCACGUAAAACUUCCCAGGUUUUUAUCUGUCAAGUCAAUGUCUGGGCUGCCUGAUGUGUUAUUAUCUCCAAAAAGGGAGGAAAACGACACCCUGAAUUGUGAAUAUGAGUUUUAUGCGAUGGAAGACGAUGAGGGUGAAAAUCAUGACGAUGCCAUCAACCGUCCCAAGGUGGGGGCUUUCAACCGGAGCAUGAGUUUUGCAGUGCAGCAACACGACAACGAGGGCGAGGGGAUCUCUUUCGGAGAUAUGAGCGAAGAUGAGUGGGUACUGUUCCUUGAAAUCUUCGAGAAGCUCUUGCCCGAGGUCACGGAGAACGCUAGAUGCAACAGCUCGAAGCAGAGGUUGGGAACUUCUUGCGACUUCUGAGGAAUCACCAAAGCAAUAGACGAUUUAAAGAUCAGCAAAAAAAGAUAGAAAGAAGCUCGGACACAGAUCGCUUGUAAUUAUUGUGGACUAAUUUUCCUUUUCUGUUUCCCAAAUGACUUGCUAGUAUAGAUUGUAGAUAAUGACCAUUUGGGGCCCGACGUGAGAGGAAAAGCGAUCGGCAAGUCGCCGUCCUUUCCUUUUUCUACUCUCUCACGCGGUUUCGUCCUCAUUUUGUAACUAUCACCAUGCAAUUAUAUCAGUGUGUAUUGUAUUGUGUAUAAGCUCAUUGCCCCGUUUACAUCAA